GCAAGAUAUUAACUGACACACCUCGAAAAUGUAUAUAUUCUAAAUGCUAAUGCUAGCUUACUGUUUUAGCAGAAAAUCCAGCUGUAUGCUAGCUGCCCAGUGUCAAGUGGUGGAAAGUAGCUAACGUUAUUUUAACAUUAAUUAACUUAUUAAAUACUGUAUUGUGUCAUAUUCUGCUUUAAGAUCGCUUGAAUAUGUCUGCCAAUGCUGCUUCUACUUGACUACAACUCAGACAAACAUAUUUUUAGCUGUAGUUGAUUACUUUGAGAGCUGAUUCCUUUAGUAUUGGUUUUUGUUGAUACCAACUUGAUAAGAUUAAACAUGUAUCAGUAAUGCAUCAAUACUAAAAUAAUUUAUUCGGUUUAAUAUAAACUUUUUUAAGGGUUUCAUUCUGCAUUAUGACGACUUCACGGUAAUUAAAGAGCAUGUUGUUAUGUCUGGUGGUUUUGGAAUACACACUUCUGUACAUCCGGUCUGAGGGUAGAAGCAUGAACAGUCCGUGGUGGGGGUGGUUGGGGUCACUCCUGUGGACUCUGCGGUGGUAAAUGCUCUGCAGAGAGGGCAGUAGAGUUCUGGUGAUCUUCUCCGCAGUCUUUACCACUGUCUGAAGGUGUCUGCUCUCCAUAGCAGAAGUGCUGCCGUACUAGAUGGUGAUACAGCCGGUUAAAAUGCUUUCAACAAUGGAGCUAUAGUCAUUGCUGAGGAGCUCAGGCUACAUGCCAAUCUUCCUCAGGCUUCUCCGAAAAUAUGGCCGCUGUUGGGCCCACUUUACCAGCUGUGUGGUGUUGAAUGACCAAGUGAGGUCAUCACUGAUGUGGACACCCAGGUACUUGAAGCUGCUCACCCUCACUACUUAUAGCUCCCAUGUACAGUGGGCGAUGCGGUCUCCCUCCUGUAGGCCACUUCGUCCCCACCACUGAUGCAUCCUAUCACUGAGGUGUCGUCUGCAAACUUUAGGAUGGUGUUGUCUUUGUGGGAGGUGACACAGUAAUAGUUGAACAGGGCGUAGAGAAUGGGGCUGAGGACGCAUCCCUGUGGAGUGCCAUUGUUUGUGAUGAUGCUGGCUGAAGUCCUAAUUCCAAUCCUGACAGUCUGGGGCCUGCCAGUCAGAAAGUCUAGGAGCCAGUCACAGAUUGUUGUACUCAGCAUAGUCCUGUAUGCUGACAGAAGAGUCCUCCAGAGUGGCUGCAGCUUUAAACACAUCCCAGUCUGUCCAAACAAAACAGUCCCGCAGGAUGCUUUCAGUGUCCGGGGUCCGGAGUUUGACUUGUUUAGUCACAGGGUUUAUCUGUUUCAGUCUUUGUCUGUAUGCCGGAUACAGGACCAAAGAGAUGUGGUCUGAGUGCCCGAAGUGCAGGCGGGGUGCAGCCUUGUAGGCUCCGAGUAUACUGCUGUAAACAUGAUCCAGUGUAUUUUAAUCAUGGGAGGGAAUAUCCACAGGUUGAUAAUAUUCAGAGAAUACAGUCUUUAAGUUGCAGUGGCUAAAGUCACCAGCGGCGAGGAAGACAGCAUCAGGAUGAACUGUCUCUUGCGCACUGAUGAUGUCAUGAAGUUUGCUGAGCGCUGCUGUGGAGUUGGCUCUCGGGGGAUGUAAAGAGCGGCCAAAAACACAGCAGUAAAUUCCCUCAGUAGAUGGAAGGAACAGCAUUUCAGCAGUAGAAACUCGACAUCUGGUCUGUAUAUCUCCACACGACGAGUUGUUGAUAAACACAAACACACGUCCCCCUCUGGCCUUACCAGAGGCUGCAGUCCAAAGUCAGUGACUUUGUCUGAGAGCCAGGUCUCUGUGAAGUUUUUGACCAUUACUCUGAACUAUGGACUCCUGAACUCAGUCAUUACCUGUGCUGCUUCAUAAAUUAGAUGUCCAGUGUAGACAAGUCAAACUGAAGUUUUAGUGGUAAAAUGUGAAAACAAAGUAAAUCUGAAUGUAACGUAACAUUCAGUGAUGGAGGAUAAAAUGUUGUUUCAGGCUCCUGAUUCAGUAUCUCUGAUGGUUCACUGCCCUCUAGUGGGGAAGUUUAAGUGUGGCACAUUCAGGCUUCAUCACUGUGAGUGCUUCCUCCUCUGUCUGCUUUAAAGGGUCAGUUCACCCAAAUUACAAAAAGACACUUUCUCUCUUACCUUCAGCGGUGUGUAGCCACACAGGUAGUUUUGUUCUGUCUCUCUGAACACUGUGAGGUUUGGAGGUUUUUUCAAAUGUUAGGUGACCCAGUCUACAUGUUGGACAUCUCUGAGCAGUUUCUCAAUCUGAACCACCUAAAUGACACAAAUCCAUUAAAAACAACUGUGUGUCCUCAUCAGAUCCCACCAGUCUUCUUGAACUAUGUGUGUCAAUCACGACUUUAGUACGAUGUGGGUGUUGACUGGCAUUUGGCACGUCAUGUAUGUUAAUAAGCUAAAGCGGAAGUACAUCUAGUGGUUUAAGAGUGUGAUAUCUGACUUCUGCUCACUCACAACUGAGGAACGGCUUCUUUCAAGACGACGUCCGUCUUCACUAGAGAUCAGAGGAGCAGAUAUGAGUUUAAGUGCAGCAGUGAGUGGAUUUGUCGUCUUCCUUCUCUCUGUGUCAGUUUUCACACUUACCUCAGCAGCAUCCUGAUCACAGAGUGAACAGAGAGAAGUGACCAAGAACAGCACAGACUCUAAUAAAUAAUAUUUCUCAUCUUAUCCUGGUCAGUAAACUGCAUUAAAGGUCACAGGUUCAAUACAUUCCUGUUCACUUCACUGCACCUUCAGACUGGGUGCACACUGAGUUUAA
Long non-coding RNA from Acanthopagrus latus (yellowfin seabream), 2758 nucleotides. RefSeq lists it as uncharacterized. Lineage: Eukaryota; Metazoa; Chordata; Actinopteri; Spariformes; Sparidae. The record is from RefSeq and is a predicted model, not a curated record. The transcript has 3 exons.